Molecule: ribosomal RNA, 301 nt
Filed under: uncultured bacterium
Lineage: Bacteria
Description: partial 16S ribosomal RNA
Rfam family: Bacterial small subunit ribosomal RNA
Source: RNAcentral
CAGCAGCCGCGGGAAAACGAAGGGUGCAAGCGUUAAUCGGAAUUACUGGGCGUAAAGCGCGCGUAGGUGGUUCAUUAAGUUGGAUGUGAAAGCCCUGGGCUCAACCUGGGAAUUGCAGUGGAUACUGGGCAACUAGAGUAAGGUAGAGGAUAGUGGAAUUUCCGGUGUAGCAGUGAAAUGCGUAGAGAUCGGAAGGAACAUCUGUGGCGAAGGCGACUAUCUGGGCCAUUACUGACACUGAGGCACGAAAGCGUGGGGAGCAAACAGGAUUAGAUACCCGCGUAGUCCCUGUCUCUUAUAC